This is a long non-coding RNA of Thalassophryne amazonica, 100 nucleotides long. RefSeq lists it as uncharacterized. The transcript is spliced from 3 exons. The record is from RefSeq and is a predicted model, not a curated record. Lineage: Eukaryota; Metazoa; Chordata; Actinopteri; Batrachoidiformes; Batrachoididae.
UUUUUGAAACAGAAAUGUUUGCAGAGCACUUGGAGUCCAAGACAAAUUUCACUUUGGGGACAAUAAAGUGUACUGCAUCGUAAUAGAUUUUUUAUUUUAA